Molecule: non-coding RNA, 30 nt
Filed under: Rattus norvegicus (Norway rat)
Lineage: Eukaryota; Metazoa; Chordata; Mammalia; Rodentia; Muridae
Source: RNAcentral
UGACACAUGACCAAUUGUGAUACUCCCAAC